RNAcentral lists this long non-coding RNA (218 nucleotides) under Zostera marina. RNAcentral's name for it is "long non-coding RNA (ZMAR_LNC005511)". The record is from RNAcentral. Lineage: Eukaryota; Viridiplantae; Streptophyta; Magnoliopsida; Alismatales; Zosteraceae.
AGGGACAAUAGAAGAAGAGGCAGGCAGAAGAUCGCCACCAGACCAUUCUUCAAAAAUUGAUUCCCUAGCAGCAACAGCAACACUCUGCCGCUCAACAAUAAGCUGGCGCAGAGAAGGAAGAUCCAAGGUUGACGACCGAGGAUCCAAAAUAUUUAAAAUUCGAUCCAGCUCCUCAAUCUCUCCCUGAAUAAAAUCAGCAAAGAGACUCACAAGAAGAG